GGACGUGCUCUUGAUGUGCCCUAAGUC
RNAcentral lists this non-coding RNA (27 nucleotides) under Rattus norvegicus (Norway rat). The record is from RNAcentral. Lineage: Eukaryota; Metazoa; Chordata; Mammalia; Rodentia; Muridae.